Molecule: unclassified non-coding RNA, 245 nt
Filed under: uncultured fungus
Lineage: Eukaryota; Fungi
Description: sequence contains ITS2
Rfam family: 5.8S ribosomal RNA (bases 1-52)
Source: RNAcentral
AACGCACAUUGCGCCCCUUGGUAUUCCGAGGGGCAUGCCUGUUCGAGCGUCAUUACAACCCUCAAGCAUUGCUUGGUAUUGGGCUCCGCUGCGUACCCAGCGGGCCUUGAAAUCAGUGGCGGUGCCGUCGAGGCCCUGAGCGUAGUAAAUAUCCUCUCGCUAUAGGGACUCGGUGGACGCUAGCCAUCAACCCCCAACUUUCUAAGUUUGACCUCGGAUCAGGUAGGGAUACCCGCUGAACUUAA